AUACUUACCUGGCAGGGGGAGUACCAUGAUCACAAGGGUGGUUUUCCCAGGGCGAGGCUUAUCCAUUGCACUCCGGAUGUGCUGACCCCUGUGAUUUCCCCAAAUGUGGGGAAUGUGCAUUAUUUGUGGUAGUGAAGGACUGCAUUCGCGCUCUCCCCUG
Molecule: small nuclear RNA, 160 nt
Organism: Ochotona curzoniae (black-lipped pika)
Lineage: Eukaryota; Metazoa; Chordata; Mammalia; Lagomorpha; Ochotonidae
Product: U1 spliceosomal RNA
Exons: 1
Source: RefSeq, a predicted model, not a curated record